AGCUGUGACUGUCACAGCAUAUUACUCCCAUUGCCCCAUCAGAGAGAAAUGUAAGUAGAUACAAGAUGGAUCAUCAGUCAGAAUGAGGCUGCAGUGUCAUACAGAGUCAAGGCAAUUCUCAGUGAAGAGCCCAAGGAGCUGGGGUGGAACAGAAUUAGGAUUGCUGACUUCAGCUGACCAAAGGGAUAUUCCAUAACAUAUGACAUCAUGCAGAAGGAGUUUCGAAGGGGGUACUGUGAUGCCACUCUUUAUCAAGUGUGCUCCGUGGACUAGAACCAGGCUUGAAGAUCACAUGUAUCCAUUCCAGCUCUAUCUUUUUGAUGUAUAAUAAAAAGUUUUUCUCAUACGUUUUCACAGA
Long non-coding RNA from Phasianus colchicus (ring-necked pheasant), 358 nucleotides. RefSeq lists it as uncharacterized. NCBI's taxonomy places the organism in Eukaryota, Metazoa, Chordata, Aves, Galliformes, Phasianidae. The record is from RefSeq and is a predicted model, not a curated record.